GAUGAACGCUGACAGAAUGCUUAACACAUGCAAGUCGAUUCGAUUUACCUUCGGGUAUUGAGGAUGGCGGACGGGUGAGUAACGCGUAAGGAACUUGCCUCUUGGUCUGGGACAACUGUUGGAAACGACAGCUAAUACCGGAUAUUAUGAGAUUCUCGCAUGGGAAACUUAUGAAAGCUAUAUGCGCCAAGAGAGAGCCUUGCGUUCCAUUAGCUAGUUGGUGGGGUAACGGCCCACCAAGGCGACGAUGGAUAGCCGGCCUGAGAGGGUGAACGGCCACAAGGGGACUGAGACACGGCCCUUACUCCUACGGGAGGCAGCAGUGGGGAAUAUUGGACAAUGGGCCACAAGCCUGAUCCAGCAAUUCUGUGUGCACGAUGAAGGUCUUCGGAUUGUAAAGUGCUUUCAGUUGGGAAGAAGAAAGUGACGGUACCAACAGAAGAAGCGACGGCUAAAUACGUGCCAGCAGCCGCGGUAAUACGUAUGUCGCAAGCGUUAUCCGGAUUUAUUGGGCGUAAAGCGCGUCUAGGCGGAAAAAUAAGUCUGAUGUUAAAAUGCGGGGCUCAACUCCGUAUUGCGUUGGAAACUGUUUUUCUAGAGUACUGGAGAGGUGGGCGGAACUACAAGUGUAGAGGUGAAAUUCGUAGAUAUUUGUAGGAAUGCCGAUGGAGAAGUCAGCUCACUGGACAGANACUGACGCUAAAGCGCGAAAGCGUGGGGAGCAAACAGGAUUAGAUACCCUGGUAGUCCACGCCGUANCGAUGAUCACUA
RNAcentral lists this ribosomal RNA (771 nucleotides) under uncultured prokaryote. Its description in RNAcentral is "bacterial SSU rRNA". It matches the Rfam family "Bacterial small subunit ribosomal RNA", at positions 28 to 818 of the family's 1533-position model. The record is from RNAcentral.